This 413-nucleotide ribosomal RNA is filed under the name actinobacterium SCGC AAA024-J03. RNAcentral describes it as "bacterial SSU rRNA". It matches the Rfam family "Bacterial small subunit ribosomal RNA", at positions 355 to 780 of the family's 1533-position model. The record is from RNAcentral. Lineage: Bacteria; Bacillati; Actinomycetota; Actinomycetes.
UGGGGAAUAUUGGGCAAUGGAGGAAACUCUGACCCAGCGACGCCGCGUGCGGGAUGAAGGCCUUCGGGUUGUAAACCGCUUUCAGCAAGGAAGAAGCGAAAGUGACGGUACUUGCAGAAGAAGCACCGGCUAACUAUGUGCCAGCAGCCGCGGUAAUACAUAGGGUGCAAGCGUUGUCCGGAAUUAUUGGGCGUAAAGAGCUCGUAGGUGGUUCGUCACGUCGGAUGUGAAAAUCUGGGGCUUAACCCCAGACCUGCAUUCGAUACGGGCGAGCUAGAGUGUGGUAGGGGAGACUGGAAUUCCUGGUGUAGCGGUGGAAUGCGCAGAUAUCAGGAGGAACACCAAUGGCGAAGGCAGGUCUCUGGGCCAUUACUGACACUGAGGAGCGAAAGCGUGGGGAGCGAACAGGAUUA